RNAcentral lists this ribosomal RNA (341 nucleotides) under uncultured Trichodina. RNAcentral describes it as "SSU rRNA". It matches the Rfam family "Eukaryotic small subunit ribosomal RNA", at positions 585 to 972 of the family's 1831-position model. The record is from RNAcentral. Lineage: Eukaryota; Ciliophora; Oligohymenophorea; Mobilida; Trichodinidae.
CCAGCUCCAAUAGCGUAUAUUAAAGUUGUUGCAGUUAAAAAGCUCGUAGUCGAACUUCUGUUCGAGGCCUGAGGAGCCAUCCGGAAGGUCUCGGACAUCCGUCUGCGCACAGCGAUGUGGCAGCAGACAGUUUACCUUGAGAAAAUUAGAGUGUUUCAGGCAGGCGUAGCCGGAAUACAUUAGCAUGGAAUAAUGGAAGAGGACCAGGCCUCAUUGUUGGUGGUAGGCCGGUAAUGAUGAAUAGGGACAGUCGGGGGCAUUAGUAUUUAAUUGUCAGAGGUGAAAUUCUUGGAUUCAUUAAAGACUGACUUCUGCGAAAGCAUUUGCCAAGGAUGUUUUCA